Long non-coding RNA from Eriocheir sinensis (Chinese mitten crab), 1137 nucleotides. RefSeq lists it as uncharacterized. The transcript is spliced from 3 exons. The record is from RefSeq and is a predicted model, not a curated record. Lineage: Eukaryota; Metazoa; Arthropoda; Malacostraca; Decapoda; Varunidae.
ACGAUACUGCAUGCAGUGUCCAAGUGUCUUGCAACUGUUGAAGAUCAAGGGAAAACUAUGGCAUCAAUUCACCAUUUAAUUAAAACUUUGAAGAGAGAAAAUGAAUGCAUGCAAGCAGGAGAAGAUGAGUUUUGCAGUUUAAGAGGAAUAAUUUCAAUUGAGUCAUUGGAAAACUUGGAUGAAGUAGAUAAAAAACUACAUGAAGAUUCAGAUUUCAAGGCCCCCAUGAAACGAAGGCUCAGCUUGCUCGGUGGGAAUAAUACCAAGGUGUGCUACUCCACAAAUCACAUCAGUCAACAAAUGAGGAUGGGAUUGGGAGAACUCUCAGAAAUUACUUGAGGAAUGCUGGAGACAGAAGUGGUGGACGUUUGCGGCGUAUUAAAGUUACUGGGGGUAAUGAAGUGUCUGCAUCUGAUUGAAUUCUUAUGUGAACUGCUGUUAUGAUUUCCCUUUUUUGAGUAUGAUUUUUUGUUGUAUUUUGUUUUGUUUUUUGUUUUUGUUUUACAUGUUUCCUCUAUUUUUGGCAUAAAUCAUGGUAGCAGAAUUUUUUAAAGUUGUGCUUAUUAUAAGUGUAGAGAAGUCUGUGGUGGGUCACAAGUAAUAGUUUUCUUAAUGAAAUGUUUUUUUCAUGUUUUCAUCUAGUGCCAUGUAUACAUUUGUGGAUAUUUUGUGUGGGUCUUGUAACAUUGCUAAGAAUGGAACUUCAUCAGGUUUCAUUCGGUCGCUAGGGUGAAUUGAACACCUCAUCGUUGACGCUAAGUACAAUUUCUUCUGGUAUAUAAAGUGUCCUGGCUAACAAUUAGUUUUUUUUUCCAAUAUGCAUUGCUCAUGACGUAAAUCUAAACCACUCAUGAAAUCUAUGAUAUUCAUAUUAACUGCCAUUAUUUAUGUGGUGCAUUGUUUGAAAAUAACAAAUAUUUACUAUAAUCAUAACAUGCCAUUAUUAUUAGACUUUUUGGUGGGUUAUUGCUUAUAUUAAUUGUUACCACCAAUAACUGUGCUCAGCGUCAAUGAUGAAGUGUUCGGUUCUCCCUAGCCACCAAAUGAAACCUGAUGCUCCCUUCCUAGCAAUGCUACCAGGUGUGGCGAGCAUUACACCACCUUGCUGGUGGAUGGGGGGUUUCAUAUGUCCACAAC